UUGAGCCUGGUAAUAAAAAGCGGCAGGGGAACAGUGGGUCUGGAUUUGGAUAUGGCAUCGGUAUUGGAGGGUUGAGAGAGAGCCAACGCUGGUGAUGGUGGUUGGCGCUGCUAAAAAGGACGCGGCGAUGAAGACGAAAAAGCGGAUAAACGCGUGGCGACGUUAGUUCGCGUGGGCCGGCACGUUGUGCACAUAACGCGCGCGACGCCGACGCCGACGCCGACGCCGACUGCUGCAAUGCGGUGAUGUCGGCAUUUUAAUUGAAAACGCCGGCUCGCUCUAGCGAUACCACCACACCACCAAUCUCCUCUCUUUCUCUCUCUCUCUCUCUCUCUCUCUCUUUCACGCUCUCACGGCUGCUGCCAACCAACCACUUCUCGCUUCUUCGCUCAUCCAUUCGUGGUUUAUUAAUGAACGUUAAUGUCGUAGGUGCGCGGCUCGUUCCUUUUAAUUGCGUCCCUAAAUUAUUCACCGUGGACGCUGUAACCGUCGUUGUGCCGCCACUGUGACGGGUCCACCUCGUGGAUCCUUUCUGUUUGCUAUUCCUCCGCGAGAUCCAACACGGGGGCAACGAACUAAAAGUUCGCGCGGACAUCGAAGGAAUAAGUCGGCUCUGUAUCAAAGCUUACUUUUGGGAAUGGUAACGGAGAGCUAGGUGGAUCGGCCAGACGAAAUGGAAUGGCGUCGGCGGACUGACAGGCGAGGAGAAAGGGGGAUGAGAGAGAGAGAGAGAGAGAGGAAGAGAGAGAGAGGCCGGACGCAAAGGGAGACGCAUUGUUUACAGUAAUGAAGGCGUAAAUAAGUGAUGAACCGCGCGACGCAUCGAUCUCGGCCGGGCUAUGCCUAUGUUUGAUACGGCACUGCUUUCAGGGUGGUCACCCCUACUGUCAGCCACCCUCCGACUGCACGCAGAUGUCGACCGGUUCUUUUCCCGCCUGCUACAUCUCUUUCUUUCUCGCUUUACACUUCUUUCGUCUGACGGAUUAUCGAGACGUUAAUUAACAAUUAAAAAUUUCGUGAAUCUUCCA
This is a long non-coding RNA of Bombus terrestris (buff-tailed bumblebee), 1028 nucleotides long. RefSeq lists it as uncharacterized. Lineage: Eukaryota; Metazoa; Arthropoda; Insecta; Hymenoptera; Apidae. The transcript is spliced from 2 exons. The record is from RefSeq and is a predicted model, not a curated record.